This is a long non-coding RNA of Bufo bufo (common toad), 120 nucleotides long. RefSeq lists it as uncharacterized. The record is from RefSeq and is a predicted model, not a curated record. Lineage: Eukaryota; Metazoa; Chordata; Amphibia; Anura; Bufonidae. The transcript has 3 exons.
CUUUAAUGAGCCAUUCGCAGUUUCACUGUACCGGCCGUGCGUACUUACAGGUGCAUGGCUUAAUCUUUGAGACAAGCAUAUGCUACUGGCAGGCUCAACCAGGUCCAGUGAAACUGCUAA